GACGAACGCUGGCGGCGUGCUUAACACAUGCAAGUCGAACGGAAAGGCCCUGCUUUUGUGGGGUGCUCGAGUGGCGAACGGGUGAGUAACACGUGAGUAACCUGCCCUUGACUUUGGGAUAACUUCAGGAAACUGGGGCUAAUACCGGAUAGGAGCUCCUGCUGCAUGGUGGGGGUUGGAAAGUUUCGGCGGUUGGGGAUGGACUCGCGGCUUAUCAGCUUGUUGGUGGGGUAGUGGCUUACCAAGGCUUUGACGGGUAGCCGGCCUGGGAGGGUGACCGGCCACAUUGGGACUGAGAUACGGCCCAGACUCCUACGGGAGGCAGCAGUGGGGAGUAUUACACAAUGGGCGGAAGCCUGAUGCGGCAACGCCGCGUGCGGGAUGACGGCCUUCGGGUUGUAAACCGCUUUCGCCUGUGACGAAGCGUGAGUGACGGUAAUGGGUAAAGAAGCACCGGCUAACUACGUG
Molecule: ribosomal RNA, 468 nt
Filed under: uncultured bacterium
Lineage: Bacteria
Description: partial 16S ribosomal RNA
Rfam family: Bacterial small subunit ribosomal RNA
Source: RNAcentral